CUAUUUUAUUCAUUUCUUUAUUUUUGAGAUGGAGUCUCUCUCUGUUGCCCAGGCUGGAGUGCAGUGGCGCGAUCUUGGCUCACUGCACCCUCCACCUCCAGGGUUGAAGCAAUUCCCCUUCGUCAGCCUCCCAAGUAGCUGGGAUUACAGGUGUGCACCACCACGCCUGGCUAAUUUUUGUAUUUUUAUUACAGACGGGGUUUUGACAUGUUGGCCAGGCUGGUCUCGAACUCCCAACCUCAAGUGAUCCUCCUGCCUUGGCCUCCCCAAACUGCUGGGAUUAUAGGCAUGAGCCACUGCACCUGGCCAAAAUCUGUAUUUUAAAAUAGAGUCUAAGCCCUUUCCCAAAAGCCACCAAUCAAAGAGAUCUUGAGUCUCCUGGUCACAGAGUUUCCUUCCAUUCAGGAGUAGCUACCAAGUAAAACCAGCUGAGACAAGAAAUGCCAGAAAAUCAAUGCUACGCUCUUUCUCCAAAGGAGCCUGCAAUCAAUGACUGAUGGGUGUAAUGGAUAUAUACCCGGCUCCCACAUCCCUGGGGUGGAAUAACUCAAAGGCUGUGUUAUACACUGAUUACCAAAGUUGCCAAAUGGAAUUAAGCUCCAGUGAGGCACCUGGACUACAUACCCUUUAAGCUAACUUUCCUUCCCCAAAUUACACCCUCACUCUCCACUGGUGUUCAAUGAGCUCAACUCCCAAAUAAAGCGCUUGUUUUGAAUACAAUUCUUGUCUCAAAAUUUGUCCCUGGGGAAACCGAAACCAAAAUAAUACUUUCCAUCUGUGUCAGCAAAC
Molecule: long non-coding RNA, 789 nt
Filed under: Homo sapiens (human)
Lineage: Eukaryota; Metazoa; Chordata; Mammalia; Primates; Hominidae
Description: HSALNT0384641
Source: RNAcentral